UUGUGUUUUCCUUUGUUCAAAGCUUCAUCUAUACUUAAAUUAUGUCCCAAGUGUAAGGAAAAACACCAAUUCCUCAAAGUUAAAAACUUCAUGCAACAGAACUUGUUGAAACUUUGAUACGUUAGCAUCCACUUCCAAAUAAUUCCACAUAUGUUUGCAAUAACUAAAAAACAACGAAAAAAGGAAAGAGGACAGCAUGAAUUGCCCCAAAAGCCAGCAGACCUCACCUAACAAUUCAACGAAAUUAAAGCAGUUAGCCUCUUUCAAUUCACAUCUACCACAAAGAGCAGGUUUAUUCUAAUCACUCCCGCAUUUCAUUUUAUUCCUGCUUUCUGUUCUACUUUUUCUUCUUCUGCAAAAAGAUCAGAUCUUUAGGGUUUUGGCUUGAUUAGCAAUCUUUUCUUCAGUUUACUCUUAAGAUUAAUUUCUUUCUUCAGGUUCCAUAGUUGCAUAUUAUCUGGAUUGAGGCGCAGUUAUUAUUGUUGUGUUUUAGUAUUUGGUGUUAUUCACGUCGUAUUGGCACCUAAAUGAUGAUUAAUGGUUACAGACUUGUGCACUUAUGUAGUCAUGUGAAAAGGAACCUGAAUGUAGUGUAAGAAAUUGUGAAACUUUGACCUCCAAGAUGAAAUGACCUUGUUCUUGUCCUAAUAUUCACAAUUCUCUGUGCGGAACUUAUUAGGACAUCCUAUUUAUGGUUUUACCUCAAUGUACACUGUGAUUGGUGAAUUGUUCUUAACCUUGAAAAGAUUGGAGUCUUGUGGUUAUUUCACUUAAUUAGGACGAAGUCAUACACAAUGACAUUAGAACUGAUUCGAAGCAAAAGAGGUGGCAGGUACAGAUUCAAAUGGGUUCAACAGGUUGAUUUUAACUUAGCAUUUUGAAUGGGAGCAUAGAGAUAUACGUGAAAAUCUCUAAUGUUCCAUCAAAUAUUAAAAAUUGAACCUACAAUGGGAGCAACGAU
This 961-nucleotide long non-coding RNA is filed under the name Nicotiana tabacum (common tobacco). RNAcentral describes it as "long non-coding RNA (NTAB_LNC019087)". Lineage: Eukaryota; Viridiplantae; Streptophyta; Magnoliopsida; Solanales; Solanaceae. The record is from RNAcentral.